AGCGAACGCUGGCGGCAGGCUUAACACAUGCAAGUCGAGCGGGCAUCCUUGUGGUGUCAGCGGCAGACGGGUGAGUAACGCGUGGGAACGUGCCCUUCGGUUCGGAAUAACUCAGGGAAACUUGAGCUAAUACCGGAUACGUGCGAGAGCAGAAAGGUUUAUCUGCCGAAGGAUCGGCCCGCGUCUGAUUAGCUAGUUGGUGAGGUUAUGGCUCACCAAGGCGACGAUCAGUAGCUGGUCUGAGAGGAUGAUCAGCCACACUGGGACUGAGACACGGCCCGGCCUCCGACGGGAGGAGGGGGGGGGGAUUAUGGGAGAGGGGGGGCACCCUGGACCCCGCCGGGCGGGGGGGGGAAUGCGGCCUUUGGGGUGGAAAAGCUUUUUUCUCGGGAAGGAAAAUGCGGGGCCGGGAGGAAAAGCCCCGGGAAACCUUGGGG
This 437-nucleotide ribosomal RNA is filed under the name uncultured bacterium. RNAcentral describes it as "partial 16S ribosomal RNA". It matches the Rfam family "Bacterial small subunit ribosomal RNA", at positions 30 to 508 of the family's 1533-position model. The record is from RNAcentral.